Molecule: ribosomal RNA, 322 nt
Filed under: uncultured Chloroflexota bacterium
Lineage: Bacteria; Bacillati; Chloroflexota
Description: bacterial SSU rRNA
Rfam family: Bacterial small subunit ribosomal RNA
Source: RNAcentral
GAUGAACGCUGGCGGCGUGCCUAAUACAUGUAAGUCGAACGGAAGAUGUAGUAAUACGUCUUUAGUGGCGAACGGGUGAGUAACGCGUUGGUGACCUGCCCCGAAGAGAGGGAUAACAGACCGAAAGGUUUGCUAAUACCGCGUAAUUUCCUUCUAGUUAGAGAGGGAGGAAGAAAGGCCGAAAGGCGCUUUGGGAGGGGCCUGCGUCCCAUCAGCUAGUUGGCGAGGUAAAAGCUCACCAAGGCGAUGACGGGUAGGGGACCUGAGAGGGUGACCCCCCACAAUGGAACUGAAACACGGUCCAUACACCUACGGGAGGCAG